AACGAACGCUGGCGGCAUGCCUAACACAUGCAAGUCGAACGAGACCUUCGGGUCUAGUGGCGCACGGGUGCGUAACGCGUGGGAACCUGCCCUUAGGUUCGGAAUAACUCCCCGAAAGGGGUGCUAAUACCGGAUAAUGUCUUCGGACCAAAGAUUUAUCGCCUUUGGAUGGGCCCGCGUUGGAUUAGCUAGUUGGUAGGGUAAAAGCCUACCAAGGCGACGAUCCAUAGCUGGUCUGAGAGGAUGAUCAGCCACACUGGGACUGAGACACGGCCCAGACUCCUACGGGAGGCAGCAGUGGGGAAUAUUGGACGAUGGGCGAAAGCCUGAUCCAGCAAUGCCGCGUGAGUGAUGAAUGCCUUAGUGUUGUAAAGCUCUUUUACCCGGGAUGAUAAUGACAGUACCGGGAGAAUAAGCUCCGGCUAACUCCGUG
This 433-nucleotide ribosomal RNA is filed under the name uncultured bacterium. RNAcentral's name for it is "partial 16S ribosomal RNA". It matches the Rfam family "Bacterial small subunit ribosomal RNA", at positions 29 to 507 of the family's 1533-position model. The record is from RNAcentral.